Molecule: long non-coding RNA, 230 nt
Organism: Carya illinoinensis
Lineage: Eukaryota; Viridiplantae; Streptophyta; Magnoliopsida; Fagales; Juglandaceae
Exons: 3
Source: RefSeq, a predicted model, not a curated record
CCACGGAAGUUGAACCAGACUCCAUCCGCGGCAGCUUCAGGGCAUUCAGUUUUUUCCCCUUCUCUAUCUCCACCGCAGAUUGAUUGUGGGUUUGGUGCUGCACGGCUUGUGGGAGUUGUUGGAGUUCUGAGUUGCCGACCACUGAAUUAAAAGGACAAAGGAGCAAUCUCCAUUUCUAGUGCUAGUGCGAAAGAGGAGUCCAAAGCUGUAUUAUCAAGUUUGUGUGCUUU